UUGUUUUUACAUAAAACCCCCUGCAAUUUAAAACCAUACCAAUUGCAAAUAUGAUCAAAUCAACCAAUUCAUGUCAUAUUCUCAUUUCCUAUUCUAAAUACUUCUAAUCAAACUCAAUCUAUAUGAUAUCAAUUUAAAAUUUAACAAUGUACUAAUUAGGUAAAAUAGAUAAACUUCUUUCAUUAAAAUUCAUAAACUUUUAAUACUAACAUUUUUAACCAUUUAUAUUAAAACAUAAUAACCUUUAUACACAAUCUAUGUACAUGCCACCUUUACCAAAGGAAAAAUACAUCACCAAGUUUUGCUGAAGUCGGGAUUGAUCUGGAUGCUGAACUGGGACCUUUGACUUCUAUCGACCUGCGCACGGAAACAACCGUAUGCUGAGUAUUUCAUACUCAGUGGUAUUACCAUAAUUCAAAUUAUAACAAUAAUAAACAUAUAAUGCAUAAAUCUUAUAUACAAAUUUUAAUUCAAUAUCUCAACAAUAGCAAUUCAUCAAUUAAUAUCAUACAUCCACAAUUUGAUUUUAGACAUAUCAUGAACUUUAGGUUCAUUUCUCAGUCUCGUAGCACAAUUCAAUUCACAAUUCAACUUUUUCAUUUCAUAUCAGUAUCUCGUUUGAUCAACUCGUUCGGUUUAUCAUUUCAUCAUUUACCCUAUUAACAAAACUCGGACUUUGGUGGAUACACGGAUCCAACCAAACACACCAAUAUGGCACCCAGUGCCUCAUCGGAUAGUUCGAAGCAAUAGUUGACACCCAGUGUCUCAUCGGCAAAGCCGAAGAAAGUUGGUACCCAGUACCUCAUCGAAUCUAUCCGAAGAAAUAUAGUGACACCCAGUGUCUCAUCGACUCGAGGUCGAAGUAUCCCUGAACUCUUCCAAUCCUAUGGCAUGCCAACUAUAUCCGACUCAGCUCGACUAGUUAGUAGGGUUUUUAAAUCACAUAUAAUCUCAAUUCAAUCACAAUUUCUCACAUUUUCAAUUCAAUCAUUUUUCCACCUUUCAAUCAAUAAUUAAUCCACAAUUCAUACAUUUUCAAAACUCAAUACAUUUCCAUUCAAUUUAAUAUCAGUCACACUUCGAUUCACAUUCACUUCCCAUUUUCAAUCAACAAACAAUUCAAAUAUUAAUUCAUAUCAAUUAUUUAAUUCCCACUCAUUUUAAUAAUAAUGAUAAUAAUAAUAACAAUAAUAAUAAUAAUAAUAAUGCUAAUAUUCAUACUUACCUCACAUUUCAUUUACUAAACACAUAAAUUAAAAUUUAACAUUUAAAAAUAAAUAAUUUGAAUUAUAGUAAUACAAACCGUGAUUUUCUCGAGUUUACUCCUCGAUAAUCUUCUCCUUUCCCUUUGAUGCUGGUGCCUCGGGUUCUUUGUUAGCUACGAAAAUAAUAAUAAUUUAUACUAUUAAUUUCAGCACUAAUUAUGAUAAAUAAUUGAAUUUCUAUUCAAUUUCUUCCUUAUUCUCAAUUUAAUCCUAACUAAAUUCACUUAUUUUCCUAACUCAAUUCACACUCUAUUUCUAUUCAAAUUCCAUCCAAACUCAAAUUUAACUAUCAAAAUUUCAGCAUAUUUUCCUAAUUUCGAAUUUCCCUCAAUUUAGUUCCUAAAACAUAAAACUCAUAGUUUCUUUUACAAUUUAAUCCAUUUUUCAAUUCUAACUUAAAAUUCAUUCAAUUUAAUCCCUUAUUCAUCUCUUUUGUUCAACAUAAACUAUACUUGAAAACCUAUGAACUUACAAAAUAUCAACUUAAUUCCAUCAAAACUUUGUUUUAAAGCUUUUAAAACAUUAGAAUUAAGAGAAAAUGGCUAAUUUGACUUACCAAUCAAAGCUUUAAACCUUAAACCUUCAAUUUUUCCUUUUUCUUUCUUUUUCUUCUUUCUCCCCUGUUUCUUCUCUGUUUCGUCCUUUCCUAUUCUGUUUCUUUUCUUCUUUUGUUUCUUUUAUUCUUUUAGUUUAUGUUUUGUUUAUUAUUUAAUAAAUAUAAUACUUUAAUAAUAUAAUAUAAUAUAAUAUUUUCUUAUAUAAUAAGUAAUUACAAAAUUUUAAUACAAAUGUAUUUAUACAAUUAUGACACAUGUAUAAAUUAUUACCAUACAUUUGUCACCAUCUUAUUUAUUUUAUAAUAUAAUAAUAAUUAUAAUAAUUUAACAAUUUAAUAAUAAU
This 2165-nucleotide long non-coding RNA is filed under the name Gossypium barbadense (sea-island cotton). Its description in RNAcentral is "long non-coding RNA (GBAR_LNC015095)". Lineage: Eukaryota; Viridiplantae; Streptophyta; Magnoliopsida; Malvales; Malvaceae. The record is from RNAcentral.